Molecule: ribosomal RNA, 443 nt
Filed under: uncultured bacterium
Lineage: Bacteria
Description: SSU rRNA
Rfam family: Bacterial small subunit ribosomal RNA
Source: RNAcentral
AGAGCGAACGCUGGCGGCAGGCCUAACACAUGCAAGUCGAGCGCCCCGCAAGGGGAGCGGCAGACGGGAGAGUAACACGUGGGAACGUACCCUUCAGUUCGGAACAACCCAGGGAAACUUGGGCUAAUACCGAAUACGUCCGUAAGGAGAAAGAUUUAUCGCUGAAGGAUCGGCCCGCGUCUGAUUAGCUUGUUGGUGAGGUAACGGCUCACCAAGGCGACGAUCAGUAGCUGGUCUGAGAGGAUGAUCAGCCUCACUGGGACUGAGACACGGCCCAGACUCCUACGGGAGGCAGCAGUGGGGAAUAUUGGACAAUGGGCGCAAGCCUGAUCCAGCCAUGCCGCGUGGGUGAUGAAGGCCCUAGGGUUGUAAAGCCCUUUCGGCGGGGAAGAUAAUGACGGUACCCGCAGAAGAAGCCCCGGCUAACUCGUGCCAGCAGCCGC